Molecule: ribosomal RNA, 501 nt
Filed under: uncultured bacterium
Lineage: Bacteria
Description: bacterial SSU rRNA
Rfam family: Bacterial small subunit ribosomal RNA
Source: RNAcentral
AUUGAACGCUGGCGGCAUGCUUUACACAUGCAAGUCGAACGGUAGACCCUUUCGGGGGUUGAGAGUGGCGAACGGGUGAGUAAUGCAUCGGAACGUGCCCAGUCGUGGGAGAUAACGCAGCGAAAGUUGUGCUAAUACCGCAUACGACCUGAGGGUGAAAGCGGGGGACCGGUAACGGCCUCGCGCGAUUGGAGCGGCCGAUGUCUGAUUAGCUAGUUGGUGAGGUAAAGGCUCACCAAGGCGACGAUCAGUAGCGGGUCUGAGAGGAUGAUCCGCCACACUGGGACUGAGACACGGCCCAGACUCCUACGGGAGGCAGCAGUGGGGAAUUUUGGACAAUGGGGGCAACCCUGAUCCAGCCAUGCCGCGUGCGGGAAGAAGGCCUCGGUUGUAACGACUUCGGUACAGAAGAAAUACGCACGGGCGUAAUACCCUGUGUGGAUGACGGUACUGUAAGAAGAAGACACCGGCUAACUACGUGCCAGCAGCCGCGGUAAAACU